GACGAACGCUGGCGGCGUGCUUAACACAUGCAAGUCGAGCGGUAAGGCCCUUUCGGGGUACGACGAGCGGCGAACGGGUGAGUAACACGUGGGUGACCUGCCCUUAGCUCUGGGAUAAGCCUGGGAAACUAGGGUCUAAUACCGGAUAUGACCUCAUGACUCAUGUUGUGGGGUGGAAAGCCUUGUGCGGCUAGGGAUGGGCCCGCGGCCUAUCAGCUUGUUGGUGGGGUAAUUGCCUACCAAGGCGACGACGGGUAGCCGGCCUGAGAGGGCGACCGGCCACACUGGGACUGAGACACGGCCCA
This 305-nucleotide ribosomal RNA is filed under the name uncultured bacterium. RNAcentral describes it as "bacterial SSU rRNA". It matches the Rfam family "Bacterial small subunit ribosomal RNA", at positions 28 to 333 of the family's 1533-position model. The record is from RNAcentral.